UGUGUGACAGAACUAGCUGGGAGCCAAAGGAUCUAGGAUCAUCACAAGAAUGCAGUGAGGGAAAAGAAUUAAAAGCCCGGAGCUGAACCAACUGUUGGUUUCACCCAACUGCUGCUUCAAGUAUUAGAGAGCUGAGUAAUGUUAAAUUCUGUCCAAUAAGUUACCGUGAUCUUGGUGGUGGCACCAGGGCAGCAGAAUGAGCAGGAGGGCUUCCAAAUGCAGUGGGCCUGACUUACCACAUAAAGCAAGUGAUUUAAUAUAUAAUAUUAUAUGUCUUGAAAUCUGCCAUCGACAGGAUUCACACCCCAUGAGCUCUCAUAAUUUGUGUGUUAUGCCUGAGGCCUAGUUCCCUCUGUGGUGGUAAACCCAUACUUUGCAGAUGGCAGGAGAGGCCUCAUGUGACCAGAUGUGUCUUCAAAGAAAAAAUUAUAGCAAAUGAAGCAGUAAGAAGAAGUGCCUAGCCAGUUCUCCAUGUGCAUGUUUUUGGUUUUGGUAUGGAGAACAUUUCAGACAUGCGCUGUCAGGAGUGUGUGCAGGAGCCGGACCCUGUGACUGGUAGGGCCUCGCAGGACUGGGGCCUUCCUGAGCUUGGCCUGGAAGGGCAAGGCAUGGCCGCACAGGUGAGGCUUGACAGAAGACUUGUAGCACCUGUGGCAAGGGCCGGGAGGGGUAUAUAAGACCAGCAUUUCCCUCUGGCUCUUCGCCACGGCAACACGCUACCCACCUACUUGUGUUUCAGCUUUCUGACGCCGGAUAUCCUGACUCUUGGACCCUUAGCUUCCUGACCCCUGGACUGCUGAUUCCUGCUUCCCGACCUCUACCCCGGUCCUGACAUACCAAGCCGGGACUCCGACUGCCGUAACCCGGACCGUGACAUGCGCGCUCUCCAGCCUGAAGUUUGAAAUGGUACCAGUUUAUCACCUUGGUGAGAACUUGGCCCAAGAUGGCCCCCUUUGGCAAGGAACUAUUGAAACCUUUAUAAUCUGAUGCCAGUUGGGUAGAAUACGUGGUGUCAGAUGGCAGUUGACUCAUUGUACUAUUGGGACCAGAUUCUCAUACCUACUUCUGAUAAGGUCUAAUUGCCACAGACUAUUCUUAUUUUUAUCUUUCAGGUACAGCACCAUCACAAUCCUAGUGGUGGAACCAGCAGCUCCAUUCCUGUUCAUCUUGUGAUGCUCCAGCAUGCAAUUCAUGUGUGAUGUGAGGGGAUGUUGGAUAUUUUGUGUAAUACUACAUUCACAUGGCAUAAUGAAAAAACAAACACCAAGUCAAUAAAACUGCUAACACAUUUGGAAAGCUAAGCAGGGUCUGGUAUGGUUUCAAACUGGAUGGGGGAUGAGAUCCCUGCAUUGCAGGGGGUUGGACUGGAUAACCUUUGGG
Molecule: non-coding RNA, 1380 nt
Organism: Podarcis lilfordi (Lilford's wall lizard)
Lineage: Eukaryota; Metazoa; Chordata; Lepidosauria; Squamata; Lacertidae
Source: the annotation of a GenBank genome assembly